GGACCCGCACAAGCGGUGGAGCAUGUGGUUUAAUUCGAAGCAACGCGAAGAACCUUACCAGGUCUUGACAUCCUUUGACCACUCCAGAGAUGGAGCUUUCCCUUCGGGGACAAAGUGACAGGUGGUGCAUGGUUGUCGUCAGCUCGUGUCGUGAGAUGUUGGGUUAAGUCCCGCAACGAGCGCAACCCUUAUUGUUAGUUGCCAGCAUUCAGUUGGGCACUCUAGCGAGACUGCCGGUGACAAACCGGAGAAGGCGGGGAUGACGUCAAAUCAUCAUGCCCCUUAUGACCUGGGCUACACACGUGCUACAAUGGCAUAUACAACGAGUCGCCAACCCGCGAGGGUGCGCUAAUCUCCUUAAAGUAUGUCUCAGUUCGGACUGUAGGCUGCAACUCGCCUACACGAAGUCGGAAUCGCUAGUAAUCGCGGAUCAGCACGCCG
This 441-nucleotide ribosomal RNA is filed under the name uncultured Bacillota bacterium. Its description in RNAcentral is "bacterial SSU rRNA". It matches the Rfam family "Bacterial small subunit ribosomal RNA", at positions 917 to 1359 of the family's 1533-position model. Lineage: Bacteria; Bacillati; Bacillota. The record is from RNAcentral.